CGGCUUCAGUUGAAUUUAACCCCACCGUACUCAUUUUCUACAUCUGUUUCCAACAAUAUUACAUACAAAAAAUAUGAAGGCACACAAAUAAAUAUUCUGAUUUGUGUUUUUGCUUUAUAUUUAAAUAUGUAGAAGCACGAAGACUCCACAAUGACCCUGCUGCAAAGCUUAGUCGGCCUUUUCCUUGGCUACUUUAUCUGUGGAAUUCCAUGUCUAUAUUUUUUAAAUAUCUUCAGGACAAAGAAAGUUCAGUCCUGUUCAUGUUGGCGAGCAAGUUGCGAGUUCUUUCCAACAGGGCUCUUUGUGCCUGGAUACAUCUGGGUCAACCAAUAUGGGUUGAUAACAAUGUAACCCCGAGAAGAAAGCCAAAUUAGGACGAUUUGUGGUUUUGUGGUCCAUUCGAUAAUCUUGUGAGAGGUUACAGUUUGUUGUUUAUUUUAAAAAGUUACUCGACUUUGGAAAGCGAGUUAGAGGAGAAUAUUGUGAACAAAAAGGAGUUUCAAAGCCUGCAAAGUAGACUGACUUUCACAACUUAGCGGAAACUUAGAAGCUUCACAGCCGAAAGUGCAGAAGCAGAAAAAGUCAUGAAAUGCGAGAAAAACAAAGUCGAGGAAAUUGCGCGCACUCAAUAAAGGGCGAAAUGCUGUCAGCAAUUUGACACCACGUUCGCCAAACAUUCAACUGAGUUUAGUAUGCAGCGACUGGACAAAAAAGGGGAGAAAAUGAAAUUAGAAAGAAUAAAAGACUCAGAAAUAUUCAAGCUGAGACGCUGUGGGGUCGUCGGUAACAACAAAAACAACACCAAUGAAAACAGCAGCAGCCGCAAACUGUAAAUCCAAUAAAAUAGUUUAAGUAACGUUGAAUGAGUACGCACGAGUUGCCUGCCAUGACCUAAUCUCUCUGAAAGCAAAAACACGCAAGCCGAGUGAAUGUGUGCUCUUGCUGUUUCGGUUGAUGCCAAGAGAACAGCUAACUGAGGGAUGUGAGGGGUUUGGAUGCGUGAGAUGAAGUGUGAGUUGCGCCUUACGCCUCCUUCACAUCGUGCCUCUUAAACACCUAGAGCUCACAAAAGUUAGAAUGAAGGCGACGUUGCACACACGUUCAUCAAGCCGCGCGACCACAAGAAUGAAUCUGAAAGCGAAUGUUUACGUGCAGCGGGGUGUAUGUCGAACGCACUCGCAUGCAGCAACCGCAAAACCAACACUCUGCCCGAACAAUCACUACCACGCUAUCCCGUCGCUCGCCUCCAGCCACUGCUUAGUUCGCUAACUAAACCGCAGCAGGCAUCCAAGCAGCCAGGCAGCCGGCAGGCAAAACAAACACAUACUUUCGGCUAGUUCGCCUUUGUUAUUGUCUGACUGUAUUCCUGCCUCUACCAAGCCACCAAGAGCUUUUUACGCUAUGCUGUUGUUUGGAGCUGGCACGAGCACCACUAAAUUCACUCAUUCGCUCACGCAGACGAGCUGUCAUCAUUCCAACAAAGUGUAGCAGUAAUGUGUCAACAGGGAGGCGCUGUUGGAGGUGUAUAUCACAUGUGCAUAUGCGUGUCCGUGUGGUGGGCGCAACUCGAAGUUACUGAUCCGAGUAGGCUGUGAAAGAGCGUGUAGAAGUUGUUUAGAUUGGGGGGAUACGGCUUGGGUACUGGUCGAAGCGUUCCACUGCACAGCAGGAGCCCGUCUGCCUGUGUAAUGCAGUGGAAGCGAGACUUUCGUGGCUUCAAUUCUUCCUAAAUGUGCAUUCCCGCCCGUUGAACUCAGAGGAUGGUCCGUCCCACCAGCCGUCUACCGCUGGAAAAAGGAAUGUGCGCAAGAGCUAAAUAUCAACACGUGAAUGAGUUCCUGUGUGAGCGUAUGUUUGGAAGUUUUAAAAGUAUAUCACAAUAUGAUCAGAACGAUGUAGUAAAUGUGAUAAUCAGAAUGUUCUGUAUAACUUGUUUGAGUAAAAGGCAAAAACACAAGUAAAUCCAUUCAGACGACCAUUAUUUUUAUGGGAGUUGCCACCUUCGAAUUUGAGCCAAAGAAUCUUCUAGACGAACAAUAGUCAAGCUAAACAUAUUUCUCAGACAAUGGAUAAAGACUCACACCGGAAGAAAGUUACAAAAUCGUGUAACUUUGUUUUCAAAACUCCAACAAUCCUUUACUCAGGAAAAUUGGUUUCAGGAGUUUUUUUUCUAAUUUCACGUAUCUCAUGCCAACUUUAAAGCGAUGUGGUGGAACCAUUUGCCAAAUUGCGAAAACAGCGUCCCGGCGGAUAAUGGAGACUUGCUAGUACGUAACCGUAUGCACUACAAGUGCGGAAAAUCUCCAACUAACCGAAAAUUUCACGUAAACUAAGUGUGCAAUGCGUUUGUACGCACUUUCUCAGAGCCGGCGGAGUGCGAGCGCGAAAAUCAGAAGAGGUAAGGUGGUUCUGUUUCUCACGCCGGAAAACGUUCUCCAUUGGUUUCCAUUUUCUGGGUUUCACUCAGUCAUUUUUUCGUUCCGGGAAGGUCACGUAUAUUGAGAAAUACUCAAAUAUUCAGAACUUUUCGAAAUACAACCCGACAAAUAUUUUUAAAAUUUAAACUGUUUUCAAGUUAUGGCUAAAAAUCCCAAACCUUAAAACUAAUUAACCAGCUAACGUGUCAGUUAUAUAGACCCUUGCAAAUUUUUCUUUAUACGUUGAAAUUUCUUCCGGCAACGAUUGAGCAUAGUAAGAAAUCGAAAUAAGAUUGAAAUGCAAGCAUGGUCAAACAUUGGUGGUAUGCAAUUUUUUGAUUUCAAUGAAGACAUCAGGCUUAGUAUAAUGGCGACAAAGUUCUUAAAUACUGAAAUACUUGUAUGUAUGUUUUUGUAAUAAAAUUUAUAUACACAGUUUUUAAUAAAAAUACACAAAUGUAUAAAUGUAUUUUCCAUUUCAAAUUGCACUAAAUAGCUAACUUGCUCCGAGGAGCUUGGAGUUCUUCUUCUGCAAAUUUAAAUGUCGACCAGCAAAACAUCCAGGCCACAGUGAAAAAACCGGUUACUGCCUAAAUCAUUACUCAUUACUGCCAGCGGGGAAUUCUGCGUGUGACACAUUAACACAGAAGGAGAAUGUGUUGCGUAACACAAACACACGCGUUCAGCACCGCAAGUUCUUCAGGAAUAUAAUUAAAGAAAUUAAAUCCAUCAAAGUGAUAUCUCAACUUGAGUGUGACGUUUGCUUAUUCUUAUGUGCAUACAUACUCGUUUGCUUAUCUACAGAAUAAUGACAACACAAACCUUUAUUCAAGGGGCGUGGAAAUAGCGUGACACUUCCUUGCUGCAAAUAACAACAACAACAAUAGCCAUGUUGUCUCGGAGUAAUUUAUUUUAUAUGCCUGAAACACACGCACACGAAGGACAUAAAUAAGUAUCGGUAGACAGAGUUGAGUGACAAUAUAUAAUAUACAAGUGUGUGUAGUAUGUAUAGAUAAUCAGAAGGAACGUUAUGAGCUUUUGAAAAGGUUCGCCGAUUCAUUAACAAUCAUAAAAAUUUACAAUCAUUAAAUUUCUAUUAUGCAAAUUUUAUCAUUUUCAUAAAUUUGAUUGAUGAUCGUUGACACCAACAACAAU
This is a non-coding RNA of Bactrocera oleae (olive fruit fly), 3572 nucleotides long. The record is from RefSeq and is a predicted model, not a curated record. Lineage: Eukaryota; Metazoa; Arthropoda; Insecta; Diptera; Tephritidae.